This 253-nucleotide ribosomal RNA is filed under the name uncultured bacterium. RNAcentral's name for it is "partial 16S ribosomal RNA". It matches the Rfam family "Bacterial small subunit ribosomal RNA", at positions 524 to 776 of the family's 1533-position model. The record is from RNAcentral.
UACGGGGGGGGCAAGCGUUGUUCGGAAUUACUGGGCGUAAAGGGCUCGUAGGCGGCCAACUAAGUCAGACGUGAAAUCCCUCGGCUUAACCGGGGAACUGCGUCUGAUACUGGAUGGCUUGAGGUUGGGAGAGGGAUGCGGAAUUCCAGGUGUAGCGGUGAAAUGCGCAGAUAUCAGGAGGAACACCAAUGGCGAAGGCAGCUCGCUGGGACGUGACUGACGCUGAGACGCGAAAGCGUGGGGAGCAAACAGG